AUGAUUCUAAAAGCAAAUCAACUGAAAAAUCAUUCAGUGGCAAAAUUUGAUACUCACCCCAUCAAAAUAUGGGUUCAGAAACACUGCACCGAAGAAAAAACUUGGGAAGAGGUUCUACCUUCAAAGACAGGAAGCAUCCACCCAAACAUGCAUCGCUUUGACAAUAAGGCACUUCAACCAUGGAAUGUGGAAUUUCCUCAGGGUUGUGAUGCCAACACUUUUCUGACUUCCUUACUGAUACUAUUUGUAUUCAUGAUGUUUGUGGCAGCAGCUGCCUGUGAAGCCUUAAGGAAUAAACAGAAGCCCCAACCCUUCCAAGUUGAGGCAAGAACUUUUGGGUGCCACUGCAACCAACCAAAACAAGGCUGUAGGCC
Molecule: long non-coding RNA, 374 nt
Filed under: Callithrix jacchus (white-tufted-ear marmoset)
Lineage: Eukaryota; Metazoa; Chordata; Mammalia; Primates; Cebidae
Description: lncRNA (ENSCJAG00000084632.1)
Source: RNAcentral